RNAcentral lists this ribosomal RNA (263 nucleotides) under uncultured bacterium. RNAcentral's name for it is "partial 16S ribosomal RNA". It matches the Rfam family "Bacterial small subunit ribosomal RNA", at positions 793 to 1055 of the family's 1533-position model. The record is from RNAcentral.
GUCCACGCUGUAAACGAUGGGCACUAGGUGUGGGGGGUGUCGACUCCCUCCGUGCCGAAGCUAACGCAUUAAGUGCCCCGCCUGGGGAGUACGGCCGCAAGGCUAAAACUCAAAGGAAUUGACGGGGGCCCGCACAAGCAGCGGAGCAUGUGGUUUAAUUCGACGCAACGCGAAGAACCUUACCUGGGCUUGACAUGUGGAUGACCGGCCUGGAAACAGGUCUUCCCUUCGGGGCAUCUUCACAGGUGGUGCAUGGCUGUCGU